This 204-nucleotide unclassified non-coding RNA is filed under the name Hevea brasiliensis (rubber tree). Lineage: Eukaryota; Viridiplantae; Streptophyta; Magnoliopsida; Malpighiales; Euphorbiaceae. The record is from RNAcentral.
GAUGGAUUGUGUAAAAUGGGGGAGGUUUGUGAGGCUAGAAAGCUCGUGGAUGAAAUGGCUAGUACUGGGGUGAAACAAAGUGAUUAUACUUAUAACAUAUUGUUACAAGCAUAUAUGAAGAUGCAAGAUUUUGUGGCUGUAAAGGAAAUUUUGAGGAAAAUGGAGAAGGAUGGUUUUGAUCUCAAUCUGACUAGUUAUACACUU